This 465-nucleotide ribosomal RNA is filed under the name Vreelandella stevensii. RNAcentral describes it as "partial 16S ribosomal RNA". It matches the Rfam family "Bacterial small subunit ribosomal RNA", at positions 338 to 795 of the family's 1533-position model. Lineage: Bacteria; Pseudomonadati; Pseudomonadota; Gammaproteobacteria; Oceanospirillales; Halomonadaceae. The record is from RNAcentral.
CCUACGGGAGGCUGCAGUGGGGAAUAUUGGACAAUGGGGGCAACCCUGAUCCAGCCAUGCCGCGUGUGUGAAGAAGGCCCUCGGGUUGUAAAGCACUUUCAGUGAGGAAGAACGCCUGGUGGUUAAUACCCAUCAGGAAAGACAUCACUCACAGAAGAAGCACCGGCUAACUCCGUGCCAGCAGCCGCGGUAAUACGGAGGGUGCGAGCGUUAAUCGGAAUUACUGGGCGUAAAGCGCGCGUAGGUGGCUUGAUAAGCCGGUUGUGAAAGCCCCGGGCUCAACCUGGGAACGGCGUCCGGAACUGUCAAGCUAGAGUGCAGGAGAGGAAGGUAGAAUUCCCGGUGUAGCGGUGAAAUGCGUAGAGAUCGGGAGGAAUACCAGUGGCGAAGGCGGCCUUCUGGACUGACACUGACACUGAGGUGCGAAAGCGUGGGUAGCAAACAGGAUUAGAUACCCCUGUAGUC